This 408-nucleotide ribosomal RNA is filed under the name uncultured bacterium. Its description in RNAcentral is "partial 16S ribosomal RNA". It matches the Rfam family "Bacterial small subunit ribosomal RNA", at positions 28 to 526 of the family's 1533-position model. The record is from RNAcentral.
GACGAACGCUGGCGGCGUGCCUAACACAUGCAAGUCGAACGAAGUGGCGAACGGGUGAGUAAUACGUGGGUAACCUGCCCUCCUGUUUGGGAUAAGCCUUGGAAACGGGGUCUAAUACCGAAUAAAGGGGGAUGGGCUCGCGGCCUUUCAGCUGGUUGGUGGGGUGCUGGCCUACCAAGGCGGUGACGGGUAGCAGGCCUGAGAGGGUGACCGGCAACAGUGGGACGGUGAUACGGCCCAGACUCAUACGGGAGGCAGCAGUGGGGGAUAUUGCACAAUGGGCGAAAGCCUGAUGCAGCGACGCCGCGUGGGGGAUGAAGGCUUUCGGGUUGUAAACCUCUUGCGCUAUCGAUCGGGUAGGUGGAGAAGAAGCGCCGGCUAACUACGUGCCAGCAGCCGCGGUAAUAC